UCCCUGGUAGCUUAGUUGGUAAAGAAUCUGCCUGGAAUGCAGGAAACCCAGGUUUGAUCCCUGGGUGGGGAA
Molecule: transfer RNA, 72 nt
Filed under: Bos taurus (domestic cattle)
Lineage: Eukaryota; Metazoa; Chordata; Mammalia; Artiodactyla; Bovidae
Also listed under: 2 other names
Rfam family: tRNA
About the family: Transfer RNA (tRNA) molecules are approximately 80 nucleotides in length. Their secondary structure includes four short double-helical elements and three loops (D, anti-codon, and T loops).
Source: Rfam by way of RNAcentral